This 886-nucleotide long non-coding RNA is filed under the name Nicotiana benthamiana. Its description in RNAcentral is "long non-coding RNA (NBEN_LNC028789)". The record is from RNAcentral. Lineage: Eukaryota; Viridiplantae; Streptophyta; Magnoliopsida; Solanales; Solanaceae.
CUCAACCUGGGUGUCACCCCUAACAACCAGCCUAGCCUUGUGCCUCUCCACAGACCCAUCAGCCCUAUAUUUAAUCUUAUAAACCCAUUUGCAACCAAUGGGCUUCUUGCCAGGGGGAAGGGGAACCAGUGACCAGGUGUGAUUUGCCUCCAAAGCAGCAAAUUCCUUGGCCAUGGCCUCCUGCCAAGAAGGAAUAGAGGCAGCCUGCUUAUAAGAGUUAGGCUUAGCCUCUGUAGAGCUAACUAAACUGUGAAGACAAGUGGAAGAAGAGCUGGGGAUAGAGAUAGAGGGAGGGAGAGUGCAGACAUACUGCUGAAGGUGAGCAGGAUGAAUUUCUUGCCCGGGGGAAGGGGAACCAUUGACCAGGUAUGAUUGGCCUCCAAGGCUGAAAUUCCUUGGCCAUGGCCUCCUGCCAAGCAUGAAUAGAGGCAGCCUGCUUAUAAGAGGUAGGCUCAGCCUCUGUAGAGCUAACUAAACUGUGAAGACAAGUGGAAGAAGAACUGGGGCCAGAGAUAGAUGCAGGGAGAGUGCAGACAUACUGCUGCAGGUGAGCAGGAAGAACAUGUGCCCUACUGGAUCUUCUAGGAAUGGAGGAGGAAGGCACUGUAAGAUUGUGUGAUUGGGAAGAAGAAUGGAAGGAGAGGCAAGAGGAGGCUGGGUGAUAGAUGAAGAAGGAGUAGAUAGAAAGUCAUCAACAGGAGGAACCCAGGCAGAAGAAUGGGAAGGAGGAGGAAAGGGACUAUGGGAAGAGUUCCCUGGAGAAGCAAAAGGAAAGACAUACUCAUGAAAAAUGACAUCCCUGGAGAUCAGAGUAAGUUUGGACUUCAAAUUAUACAGUUUGUAACCUUUUUUACCCAAUGGAUAUCCCAGAAAAACACAUGGAUCA